RNAcentral lists this ribosomal RNA (253 nucleotides) under uncultured bacterium. Its description in RNAcentral is "partial 16S ribosomal RNA". It matches the Rfam family "Bacterial small subunit ribosomal RNA", at positions 524 to 776 of the family's 1533-position model. The record is from RNAcentral.
GACAGAGGUCCCGAGCGUUAGGCGGAAUCACUGGGCUUAAAGCGUGUGUAGGCGGAUCGUUAAGUGCUUUGUGAAAUCCCACGGCUUAACCGUGGAACUGCUUGGCAUACUGGCGGUCUUGAGCAACCUAGGGGCAAGCGGAACAAAUGGUGGAGCGGUGAAAUGCGUAGAUAUCAUUUGGAACGCCAAUGGUGAAAACAGCUUGCUGGGGGUUUGCUGACGCUGAGACACGAAAGCCAGGGGAGCAAACGGG